This 495-nucleotide unclassified non-coding RNA is filed under the name Meloidogyne arenaria. Its description in RNAcentral is "partial intergenic spacer". The record is from RNAcentral. Lineage: Eukaryota; Metazoa; Nematoda; Chromadorea; Rhabditida; Meloidogynidae.
AUGGGUUGUCAAUUUCUUAAUAUUUAAAACAAAUUUCGCUGAGGCAAAGUGGGCGUGGAUUUCGAUGUUCGCUGUUCGCGGGAAUGGUUUAAAGGAAAACUCAAAUUGGGCUAAUCUAGAAACUCGUGGAGAGAAAUAAUAGGAUUAAAAAAUUUUUUGAAAAAUUUAAAGUUUAUUAUUAUAAUAAGCUUUGUUUUUUGAAGAAUAAAGUUUAUUGUUAUUUAUUUUUUAAAACUUUUAAAGUUUAUAAAAUUAAACUUAUAACAAUAAACUUCUAACAAUCCUUUAUUGACUCUCGCUGCAAAAUUAAUUUGGCUUCUGGCAAUUGUCAGGAAUUUAGCCGAUUAUAACUUUUGUGAAUUUAUAAUUAUAAUUAAUUAUUGACAUUCUUUUGCAAAGGAUAUUUAGAUAUGUUAUCAGCUGUCAUUAAUUUUUAAUUUUCGACUUUUAUUUCGGGAUUUUGAAUUCUAAAAUUAUCAAUGUAAUCAUUAUUAA